AUCGCUUCUCGGCCUUUUGGCUAAGAUCGAGUGUAGAAUGUGGAAUGGUGAAAUAUCUCUCAUUCUUUAUUAUAUCUUUUUUUCUAUAUCUUUU
This 94-nucleotide small nuclear RNA is filed under the name Fukomys damarensis (Damara mole-rat). Its description in RNAcentral is "U2 spliceosomal RNA". It matches the Rfam family "U2 spliceosomal RNA". Rfam says of the family: U2 is a small nuclear RNA (snRNA) component of the spliceosome (involved in pre-mRNA splicing). Complementary binding between U2 snRNA (in an area lying towards the 5' end but 3' to hairpin I) and the branchpoint sequence (BPS) of the intron results the bulging out of an unpaired adenosine, on the BPS, which initiates a nucleophilic attack at the intronic 5' splice site, thus starting the first of two transesterification reactions that mediate splicing. Lineage: Eukaryota; Metazoa; Chordata; Mammalia; Rodentia; Bathyergidae. The record is from Rfam by way of RNAcentral.